CUCUCACAUACAUACACACACCUACAAAUCCUGCUGGAAGCAGGGAGAAGGCUGGCUCAUUUAACAGAAGAAUUUUCCAUUGACAUUUGUAAAUUACACUAGAUUCAAGGCUCACCGCUGACUUACUGAGUGUGCAGUAAGGCAAUCAAAGGCUUUCACACUGCAACAAUGUCUGAGUUUAUUCUUGCCUUGGUGACAAUAUCAGGGUUAUUUCCCAUUGCUAAGGUGCUGGCUGCUGGAUCUGAAGGAGGUAAGGAGUCUUCAUUUACUGGCAUAACUUGGAAACUUAACGUUCAAGCAGAG
Molecule: non-coding RNA, 303 nt
Organism: Pelobates cultripes (western spadefoot toad)
Lineage: Eukaryota; Metazoa; Chordata; Amphibia; Anura; Pelobatidae
Source: the annotation of a GenBank genome assembly